Molecule: ribosomal RNA, 370 nt
Filed under: uncultured eukaryote
Lineage: Eukaryota
Description: partial 18S ribosomal RNA
Rfam family: Eukaryotic small subunit ribosomal RNA
Source: RNAcentral
CAAUAGCGUAUAUUAAAGUUGUUGCAGUUAAAAAGCUCGUAGUUGGACCUUGGACCUGGACAGGCGGUCCGCCUCACGGCGUGUACUGUCUUGCUGGGUCUUUCCUCUUGGUGAUCUGUUGUUUCGGCAGCAGGGAACCAGGACUUUUACUUUGAAAAAAUUAGAGUGUUCAAAGCAGGCUCGACGCCGGGAUAUAUUAGCAUGGAAUAAUAAAAUAGGACGUGCGGUUCUAUUUUGUUGGUUUUUGGAAUCGCCGUAAUGAUUAAUAGGGACAGUCGGGGGCAUUAGUACUCACAUGCUAGAGGUGAAAUUCUUGGAUUUUGUGAAGACUAACUUCUGCGAAAGCAUUUGCCAAGGAUGUUUUCAUUAA